GGUUAGUAUUAUCUGGUUGGUUAGUAUUAUGUGGUUGGUUAGUAUUAUGUGGUUGAUUAGUAUUAUCUAGUUGGUUAGUAUUAUCUGGUUGGUUAGUAUUAUGUGGAUCGUUAGUAUUAUCUGGUUGGUUAGUAUUAUGUGGUUGGUUAGUAUUAUGUGGUUGGUUAGUAUUAUGUGGUUGGUUAGUAUUAUGUGGUUGGUUAGUAUUAUGUGGUUGAUUAGUAUUAUCUGGUUGGUUAGUAUUAUGUGGAUCGUUAGUAUUAUCUGGUUGGUUAGUAUUAUGUGGAUCGUUAGUAUUAUCUGGUUGGUUAGUAUUAUGUGGUUGGUUAGUAUUAUCUGGUUGGUUAGUAUUAUGUGGUUGGUUAGUAUUAUGUGGUUGAUUAGUAUUAUGUGGUUGAUUAGUAUUAUCUAGUUGGUUAGUAUUAUGUGGAUUGUUAGUAUUUUCUGGAUUUUAGUAUUAUUUGGUUGGUUAGUAUUAUUUGGUUGGGGACAGUAUUGUUACUGCUGGUUUGAUGACAGAUCAGGGGGACAGAAAUUGAUUGGUUGUAACACUCACCUGUUGUUGUUAUGGCCUCCAGUCCAAGGACAUUAGCCCUCCCUCUACAGGUCCACAACCUCCCUGUGUGUCUCUCUCUGUUCAUCACUCUCUCUUUAUCUCUUUCUGUGUGUGUGUGUGUGUGUGUGUGUGUGUGUGUGUGUGUGUGUGUGUGUGUGUGUGUGUGUGUGUGUGUGUGUGUGUGUGUGUGUGUGUGUGUGUGUGUGUCACAGCAAGUGUAGUCACACACUCCAUCGUGUUGGCGGGGAGGAGAGAACUGCUUACCUCAAUUCCAGAAUAAUUAUGGAGUGGAAAAAAGAACAAUUAGCCAGCUGGGUAUUAUAAAACAAAGCAAUUAAUGUUAUGCUAAUAAGUCGAAUUUCCAGCAAUUGUCGAUCAUUUGCUAAUUAUUUGUUAAUUAGUCUGACUUUUUAGUGCAUCAAUUUAUGAGAGAUUAAUGAACAGACAGAUUCUGGUAUUUAACAAACUCUCUCGGCAGCAGUUGAGAGUUCUGUUCCUUCCUGCUGUGAUCGUAAUUGCUGUUAUGAAAAGUCAAACUCCAUUGAGACACUUUUACAACCAUGUCCUCUAGUGUAUCAUAUUCCUGGGACAACACACGAGGUCUCUGGGACAACACACGAGGUCUCUGGGACAACACACGAGGUCUCUGGGACAACACACGAGGUCUCUGGGACAACACAUGAGGUCUCUGGGACAACACAUGAGGUCUCUGGGACAACACAUGAGGUCUGUGGGACAACAUGAGGUCUGUGGGACAACACACAAGGUCUCUGGGACAGCACAUGAGGUCUCUGGGACAACACAUGAGGUCUCUGGGACAACACAUGAGGUCUGUGGGACAACAUGAGGUCUGUGGGACAACAUGAGGUAUGUGGGACAACAUGAGGUAUCUGGGAUAGCACAAGGUCUCUGGGACAGCACAUGACGUCUCUGGGACAAUGUAAACCUUCAGCGACAGCAGCGUAAUACUCACUAUCUAGCCUACGUUUCAUUACUGUGGGAUCCUCUAACUAAGAUACUGUAUGUCCUUUUUUCCUUGAUUCAACUAGGUUGUUUGUCACAUUAAAUGUGUUAAUGAGGA
Long non-coding RNA from Oncorhynchus tshawytscha (Chinook salmon), 1637 nucleotides. The record is from Ensembl. NCBI's taxonomy places the organism in Eukaryota, Metazoa, Chordata, Actinopteri, Salmoniformes, Salmonidae.